UGCGGGAGUGCCGAAAGGGAAUCGGAACACAGGUGCUGCAUGGCUGUCGUCAGCUCGUGUCGUGAGAUGUUCGGUUAAGUCCGCUAACGAGCGCAACCCUCGCUGUGUGUUAUAUGUGUCACACGGGACUGCCGGUCUUAAGCCGGAGGAAGGUGGGGAUGAUGUCAAGUCAGCAUGGCCUUUAUAUCCUGGGCUACACACACGCUACAAUGGCCAACACAAUAGGUUGCUAAGCCGCGAGGUGGCGCCAAUCCAUAAAGUUGGUCUCAGUUCAGAUUGUAGGCUGCAACCCGCCUGCAUGAAGAUGGAGUUGCUAGUAACCGCAGGUCAGCUAUACUGCGGUGAAUACGUUCCCGGGGCUU
This 362-nucleotide ribosomal RNA is filed under the name uncultured Leptolinea sp. RNAcentral describes it as "bacterial SSU rRNA". It matches the Rfam family "Bacterial small subunit ribosomal RNA", at positions 1007 to 1382 of the family's 1533-position model. The record is from RNAcentral. Lineage: Bacteria; Bacillati; Chloroflexota; Anaerolineae; Anaerolineales; Anaerolineaceae.